RNAcentral lists this ribosomal RNA (418 nucleotides) under uncultured prokaryote. RNAcentral's name for it is "bacterial SSU rRNA". It matches the Rfam family "Archaeal small subunit ribosomal RNA", at positions 455 to 873 of the family's 1478-position model. The record is from RNAcentral.
GUGUCAGCCGCCGCGGUAAUACCAGCUCUCCGAGUGGUAGGGAUGAUUAUUGGGCUUAAAGCGUGCGUAGCCGGCUUGACAAGUCUUCUGUUAAAUCCAGCAACCCAAUUGUUGGACUGCGGGAGAUACUGUCUAGCUAGAGAACGGGAGAAGCCGACGGUACUCUCAGGGUAGGAGUGAAAUCCUAUAAUCCUGGGAGGACCACCAGUGGCGUAGGCUGUCGGCUAGAACGUGUCUGACUGUGAGGAACGAAAGCUUGGGGAGCGAACCGGAUUAGAUACCCGGGUAGUCCAAGCUGUAAACGAUGCGGGCUAGGUGUUGGGGUGGCUACGUGCCACUUCAGUGCCGCAGGGAGACCGUUAAGCCCGCCGCCUGGGGAGUACGGUCGCAAGGCUGAAACUUAAAGGAAUUGACGGGG